RNAcentral lists this transfer RNA (75 nucleotides) under Rhizobium rosettiformans W3. RNAcentral describes it as "tRNA-Ile". It matches the Rfam family "tRNA". Rfam says of the family: Transfer RNA (tRNA) molecules are approximately 80 nucleotides in length. Their secondary structure includes four short double-helical elements and three loops (D, anti-codon, and T loops). RNAcentral also lists the same sequence under 1 other name. The record is from RNAcentral. Lineage: Bacteria; Pseudomonadati; Pseudomonadota; Alphaproteobacteria; Hyphomicrobiales; Rhizobiaceae.
GCCGGUCUAGCUCAGUGGUAGAGCAAUCGCUUGAUAAGCGAUAGGCGCCUGGGUCAGUACCAGGGACCGGUACCA